GGGUGAUCAUACCGCUCAGGUAUGACAGGAUUUGCGCUGGUCGGGCCGCCACG
Molecule: non-coding RNA, 53 nt
Filed under: Massilia timonae
Lineage: Bacteria; Pseudomonadati; Pseudomonadota; Betaproteobacteria; Burkholderiales; Oxalobacteraceae
Also listed under: 1 other name
Description: Li+-I sequence
Rfam family: nhaA-I RNA
About the family: Acidobacteria, Alphaproteobacteria, Betaproteobacteria and Gammaproteobacteria, Verrucomicrobia, cand. division NC10. Downstream gene
Source: RNAcentral